GCAUGUUCUCGGGGCGGGGUGAAACUCCCCACCGGCGGUGAAAGCCCGCGAGCGCUCCGGCCGAGAGGCCGGGGGUCAGCAGAGUCCGGUGAAACUCCGGCGCCGACGGUCAUAGUCCGGAUGAGAGGGAACGGAA
RNAcentral lists this non-coding RNA (136 nucleotides) under Limimaricola cinnabarinus. RNAcentral describes it as "Loktanella cinnabarina FMN sequence". It matches the Rfam family "FMN riboswitch aptamer (RFN element)". Rfam says of the family: The RFN element is a highly conserved domain that is found frequently in the 5'-untranslated regions of prokaryotic mRNAs that encode for flavin mononucleotide (FMN) biosynthesis and transport proteins. This element is a metabolite-dependent riboswitch that directly binds FMN in the absence of proteins. The record is from RNAcentral. Lineage: Bacteria; Pseudomonadati; Pseudomonadota; Alphaproteobacteria; Rhodobacterales; Paracoccaceae.